This is a non-coding RNA of Miniopterus natalensis, 311 nucleotides long. The record is from RefSeq and is a predicted model, not a curated record. NCBI's taxonomy places the organism in Eukaryota, Metazoa, Chordata, Mammalia, Chiroptera, Miniopteridae.
UAGAGACAUACCUAGAGUGGUCACGGAGACAUAUGGGCAUCAUCAGGCUCGGCGCCACUGGAGCCACCUAGACUCUUUCUGCCUCUGCCAGUGAAGGGGAACAGCCAUGUAGCCACAAAGUUAUAACCAUAACUUUGUCCUUCUGCUGUUCUUGAUGGGACUAAGAAGUUAUAUGGAAACUGUGAUUCAUUCAUUCAUUCAACAAACAUUUGAAGGCCUAACGUGGGCCAUAUACUGAGUCCUAGAGACAGACAUAAGCCCUAUGACUGACUGGAUUAGGCUUCGAAAUAAAUGUAAUAUGAUGUGUUAAA